RNAcentral lists this ribosomal RNA (2875 nucleotides) under Triticum aestivum (bread wheat). RNAcentral's name for it is "partial small subunit ribosomal RNA". The record is from RNAcentral. Lineage: Eukaryota; Viridiplantae; Streptophyta; Magnoliopsida; Poales; Poaceae.
AUGGCNNNNNNNNNNNNNNNNNNNNNNNNCUCCUUCCGCCUCUCCUCCCGCCCCCUCCUCCCGCUCCGCCUCCUCUCCCUCUCCCGCCCCGCCUCCUCCUCCGCCUCCCCCACCGCCGCCGCCGCCGCCGCCCCCUCCUCGUCCGGCCGCAACCGCGCCCCUCCCGCGCCCAGCCGCGGCGGCGCGCCAUGGAUGCAGAAGUGGGCCCCCGCCGACCCCUCCGCGCCCGCGCCCGCGCCCGCCCCCUCCCCGGGCCACGCGCCCUCCACCUCCAUCGACCGCAUCGUCCACCGCCUCCGCAACCUCGGCCUCGGCACCGACGACGACGAGCCCUCCUCCCCCGCCGACGCCCCGCUCGACGGCAGGGAGCGCCUCGGCGACCUGCUCGACCGCAGCUGGGCGCGCCCCGACCGCCAGUUCGCCGCCUCCGGCCUCGACGAGGCCGUCCUCCCGUGGGAGAGGGACCGGGAGAGCGACGGCGAGGAGGUGGACGGGGUCAAGAGGAAGCGGGUCAGGGCGCCCUCGCUGGCGGAGCUCACCAUGGACGACGUCGAGCUGCGCCGCCUGCGGGGCAUGGGCAUGACCCUCAAAGACCGCAUCACCGUGCCCAAGGCCGGGGUCACGCAGGCCAUCACGGAGAAGAUCCACGACGCCUGGAGGAAGUCGGAGCUGGUCCGACUCAAGUUCCACGAGGACCUCGCCAACGACAUGAAGACUGCCCAUGAGCUUGUCGAGCGGCGGACAGGAGGGCUGAUCAUAUGGAGGGCUGGGAGUGUUAUGGUUGUCUACCGCGGGAGCAAUUACACGAGGCCUCUGAAAUCUCAACCUUUUGACGGUACCUCGUCACCGAGGAAGGGUGAAGAUAGUACAUUGUUCAUCCCCGAUGGCUCGAGCACUGCUGAGAAUGAUAAUCAGGGGAAGGAUCUAACUGCUCAACAUGAUAAUGCACCCAUAUUGGAUCUGCACAAUACAGAGGACAUGACGGAAGAAGAGCUGGAGUUCAAUCAAAUGCUUGAUGAGCUGGGCCCUCGUUUCGUGGAUUGGUGGGGAACAGGAAUUUUACCUGUGGAUGCCGACUUGCUGCCUCAAACAAUUCCAGGUUAUAAAGCGCCAUUUAGAGUUCUUCCAACUGGAAUGCGCACAAGCCUUACCAACUCAGAGCUGACUAAUUUGCGAAAGUUAGCAAGGAACCUCCCUUGUCAUUUUGCUCUAGGGAGAAACCGGAAUCAUCAAGGCUUGGCCGCGGCUAUUGUUAAGCUUUGGGAGAAGAGUUUGGUGGUGAAAAUAGCUGUCAAACGUGGAAUCCAGAACACAAAUAAUAAGCUAAUGUCAGACGAAAUAAAGAAUCUAACAGGGGGUACCCUGCUUCUUCGAAAUAAAUAUUACAUUGUAAUAUAUCGUGGAAAAGACUUCCUGCCUACAUCUGUUGCUGCUGCCUUGGCUGAAAGAGAGGAGUUGACAAAAGAUAUCCAGAAUCUAGAGGAGCAGAGAAGAUCCAUUUCCAUUGAACACUCUUCGGAGGAUGGUUUUGAUGGGCAUGCUCUUGUAGGAACUCUUGCUGAAUUUCAGGAGGCGCAAGCCCGUUGGGGAAGAAAUGUAACUUCUAAGGAGCAACAAGAGAUGAAAGAAGCGUCUUUUAGAUCAGAAAAGGAAAAGCUUUUCAGAAGACUCGAACACAAGCUUUCCAUUGCUCAAGCAAAAAUACAUAGAGCAGGGAAGUUAUUAUCAAAGAUUGAAGCUUCUAUGAUCCUUGCAAACCCAUCCGAUGACCGAGAAAUGAUCACAGCUGAGGAGAGAUCUGUUUUCCGUAGAAUUGGUCUGAAAAUGAAAGCAUAUUUGCCUGUUGGAAUCCGUGGUGUCUUUGAUGGCGUCAUUGAAAAUAUGCACUUGCACUGGAAGCACAGGGAAGUUGUCAAAUUGAUUACAAAGCAAAAGACCUUGGCGUUUGUUGAGGAGACAGCACGACUUCUAGAGUAUGAGAGUGGUGGUAUACUAGUUGCAAUCGAAAGAGUUCCCAAGGGCCAUGCACUUAUUUUUUACCGUGGAAAGAAUUAUAGGAGGCCUAUUAACAUAAGGCCUAGAAAUCUCUUAACAAAGGCUAAGGCAUUGAAACGCGCAGUUGCAAUGCAACGCCAUGAGGCCCUAAGCCAGCAUAUAGAGCAACUGGAAAUCAAUAUGAAGAAGAUGAAGCGUGAUUUGGGCAUGGAGGACUACGAUGAAGAGGACGAGGAUGGAUCAGGUUCAGAAAGUGAAGACGAUACAACGGGCUAUGAUGAGGGUAUGGAGGACUACGAUAAAGAGGAAGAGGAUGAAUCAGAUUCAGAAGAUGAAGACAACUAGCCUCAGCAGUGCACAAGAGGAUCAACUAUAACUACUGGUCGCGGCGCGGUCAUGUCCUUCUCUGGGUCGCUAUAUCGGGAGGCCUGAUCUGAAGCCUGUGUAUGUUUGAUGUGAAGCAACAUCCAGAGAAGUGCCUCACAUCAAUAGGCUGCUGCAAGUCGAUAGAUGGACCGCUUCCUAGUUGUCGACUCUCAUGAUUAGCCUUUGUAGGAUCUGUACAAACAUUUGGUAUAGCCUGUUCGUUCUUAAAGAACCGAUUCUGUGUGGACACAGGGGUUCCUUUAUCGUAUUUAUUACUUACAGUACUAACUAAAAAUGUUUUUAGGCACGUAUUACCUUGACCAGAAUCUGGAAGGUGAGUGAGGGUUGAGCUCCUAGCCCAGUAAAAUACUGAAUGAUGUUCUCUUGUGAAUGGUUGACAGGGAAGAAAUGCCAUGCAGAAACCUGUAGGGAUCUUGUAAAAACAUGGUUGGGUGAUUACGGAGUUUUACGAGGCUGUGAGUUUGGAAGAAUUCUUUUAAAAGCGAUCCCAAGU